This 960-nucleotide ribosomal RNA is filed under the name Triticum aestivum (bread wheat). RNAcentral's name for it is "partial small subunit ribosomal RNA". The record is from RNAcentral. Lineage: Eukaryota; Viridiplantae; Streptophyta; Magnoliopsida; Poales; Poaceae.
AUGACUCUUGGUACUCUUGUUAUCAUGGUGACAUUGCUGGUGUAUUUUGUAUUGAAGAAUAAAAGAGUGCUAUUGUCCCAGCAGCAACGGGGGCGACGAGGCAGGCUGCCCCCGGGGCCUGCGGCGCUGCCCAUCGUCGGUAACAUGCAUCAGGUGAUUCUGAACAAGCCGGCGGUAUUCCGAUGGAUCCAUGGCCUUCUCAAGGAGAUGAACACCGACAUCAUGUGCCUCCGUCUCGGAGCUACUCAUGUCAUUGUUGUGACAUGUCCACAGAUGGCCUCUGAGGUACUACGAAAAAAUGAUGAAGUUUUUGCCUCCCGUCCCACCACCUUCGCCUCGGGCAUAUUCAGCUUCGGGUACAAGGGCUCCAUCUUCUCACCACACGGAGACCAGUGGAAGAAGAUGAGGCGCGUUCUCACUGUUGAGAUCCUCGCAUCGUCCAUGGAGCGAAAGCUCCACCACCUCCGGAAAGAGGAGUACGACCACCUUGUGAGGUACAUUAAUAAAACUCAUUGCAGCGACAUGGCAUGUCCAGGCAACUUUGUCAACGUCCGUCAUGUAACCCAACACUUCGUUGGUAACAUGAUAAGAAGGCUUGUGUUCGGUAAAAGAUACUUCAGUGACCUACCAGCUUCAUCCACUAGUGGGCCUGGACAUGAUGAGGUGGCACAUGUUGCCGCUCUCUUCACGGCCCUCAACCAUCUCUACAGCUUUUGCAUGUCCGACUACUUCCCAGCCCUCAUAGGCCUUGACCUAGAUGGCCAUGAAAAGGUUUCCAAGGAUGCCAUGCAAACACUCCACCGGUUGCAUGACCCCAUUAUAGAGGAGCGGAUCCGCGAAAGGUCAUCCACUCUUCAGAUAUUUGGUGAAAAGAAAGAGGCCAGAGACUUUCUGGAUGUCCUGGUUCAUCUUAAAGAUGCAGAGGGACAACCAAUGCUUUCCCUAGAAGAGAUUAAUUAG